This 271-nucleotide ribosomal RNA is filed under the name uncultured archaeon. RNAcentral describes it as "partial 16S ribosomal RNA". It matches the Rfam family "Archaeal small subunit ribosomal RNA", at positions 477 to 747 of the family's 1478-position model. The record is from RNAcentral.
CAGCGCCACAAGUGGGGACCGUUGUUAUUGGGCCUAAAGCGUCCGUAGCCGGCUUAGAAAAUUUUCUGUGAAAUUGUCAGGCUCAACCUGACAGCGUGCAGGGAACACUACUAAACUUGAGACCGGGAGGAGUCAGAGGUAUUCCAGGGGUAGCGGUAAAAUGCAAUAAUCCUUGGAGGACCACCUGUGGCGAAGGCGUCUGACCAGAACGGGUCUGACGGUGAGGGACGAAAGCUAGGGGAGCAAACCGGAUUAGAUACCCGAGUAGUCC